This 2991-nucleotide unclassified non-coding RNA is filed under the name Hevea brasiliensis (rubber tree). Lineage: Eukaryota; Viridiplantae; Streptophyta; Magnoliopsida; Malpighiales; Euphorbiaceae. The record is from RNAcentral.
UCCUGAACCACCUGCUUCUCUCAGGCCUCUUCCCAGCAAGGCUGGUCCCCCUCCCCCUCCUCCACCACCUCAUGCACCGCCGUCUCCUCCUGCAAGAGCUUCAGGCAGUGUGGGUCCUCGCCCUCCUGGACCACCUCCUCCACCAACUGUGACUUCUGGUGCCAAAUCUGGUCCAUCUCCACCACCACCUCCAAAGGGCGGUCCAGCUCCUCCCCGACCACCACCACCGUUGCCCAUGGGUUCAAAGGUUCCUCGCCCACCUUCUGGAUUAAAGCGUCCCCCUAAUGCAGCACCAGUUGAAGGAGAUGGUGCAGAGGGUGAUGCCAAUACUCCUAAAGCCAAGCUGAAGCCAUUUUUCUGGGAUAAAGUUCUAGCCAAUCCUGAUAAUUCAAUGGUUUGGCAUCAGAUUAAAUCAGGAUCAUUCCAGUUCAAUGAGGAGAUGAUCGAAACACUGUUUGGGUAUGCCCCUGCUGACAGAAACAAAACUGAUCGCAAGAAAGAGUCUUCCUCCCAAGAUUCCACAUUUCAUUAUAUUCAGAUCCUUGAUACCAAAAAGGCGCAAAACCUGUCAAUUCUUCUUCGGGCACUGAAUGUUACAAUAGAAGAAGUCUGUGAUGCACUUCAUGAAGGUUAUUAUCCUUGAUGCACUGUCAUGAAUUCUUUUUAAUGCGUCAAUGUAUCUAACCUCUCGAAGGUAAAAAUCAGGAAAUGAACUUCCCAUAGAACUCCUUCAGACUUUGUUGAAAAUGGCACCUACAGCAGAUGAAGAGCUGAAGCUUAGGCUGUACAGUGGUGAACUUUCUCAACUAGGGAAUGCUGAACGAUUUCUAAAAAUGUUGGUUGACAUUCCAUUUGCUUAUAAACGAUUGGAAGCACUGCUUUUCAUGUGUACUCUACAGGAAGAGGUUGCCAUGACUAAGGAGUCCUUUGACACUUUAGAGGUAGGAUACUGGAUGUUUUGUUGCAUCCCAUCUGAUUUUACAUUUCAUGUUUGCUGCUCAUUUAGUAUCAGUAUCUUGAUAUUAAUUUUUGAUAGCUCUAAAGGGGUAAGAAGUUGCUUUGACAGUAUGCUGGAAAGAGCUGAAUAAAAACUUAAACUUUUGUAUAUGAUGUAUAUUGAUGAAACAAACACUCUGGAAUUUUGGAAUUGCAGUGAUAAAAUACAUAUUUUAGAUUGUGCAUAACCAAUUUGUGAAGAACCAACAUACAGUAUUUUUAGAAAAAAAAAACUAGAUGGUCCUUCAAUUUAUUGGCUCUUUUUUGUCUCCCUGGCUAUAUGUCUUGUGAAACACAUGCAUAUAUCCCGAUUUUACAGGAAUUUGGCCACUUUUCAUGUGUGCAAGGAUGAUGAGAGAUGGGAUAGCAACCACUUGAACCUUGAAAACGGUGCUUGUGCACAGAUUUAUGUGUAUACAUAUCUCAUCCAAAUUUGCACAAAUAUAUUAAUAAUCUAUGAACUGAACCUUUGCAGAAGCAUUGAAGUUUCUCAUAGUUCCUUGUUCUGGAUGUCGCAAUAUCAUCUUUCAUUUCUUCCUCUCAUAUAAUCUGAUAACAGUUUCUGGUAUAUUUAUUGGACUUUUGUGUUUAUUGAUUUGCGGGAAAAUGCCAAUACUAACUCCUUCUAAUGGGGCAGGUUGCUUGCAAGGAACUCAAAAACAGUAGAUUGUUCCUCAAGCUUCUAGAAGCUGUUCUUAAAACUGGCAACCGCAUGAAUGAUGGAACAUUCCGGGGUCGUGCUCAAGCAUUUAAACUUGACACACUUUUAAAAUUAUCUGAUGUGAAGGGAACAGAUGGUAAGACCACACUGUUGCACUUUGUUGUUCAGGAGAUAAUCCGCUCCGAAGGUGUGAGAGCUGCCCGUGCAGCAAGGGAGAGUCGAACAUUCUCAAAUAUCAGUGUGAAAACUGAUGAUCUCCUCGAGGAUGUUACCCCUGAUACAGAAUAUGACUAUCGCAAAACUGGUCUUCAGGUGGUUUCUCGUUUGAGUAGUGAACUAGAAAAUGUCAAAAAAGCAGCAGUUAUCGAUGCUGAUAGCUUAACAGGAACUGUUGCCAAACUGGGCUAUUCACUGUUAAAAACCCAAGAUUUCCUGAACAAGGAUAUGAAGAGCUUAGAGGAAGACAGUGAGUUCCAUGAAGCAUUAAAAAGUUUUGUACAGACUGCUGAGGUUGACGUCAUGUGGUUGCUGGAGGAAGAAAAGAGAAUUAUGGCUCUGGUGAAGAGCACUGGUGAUUACUUCCAUGGGAAUGCAGGGAAGGAUGAAGGCUUACGUCUUUUUGUUAUUGUGCGGGACUUCUUGAUCAUCUUAGAUAAGGUGUGCAAACAGGUGGGAGAGGCACAAAAGAUGUCAGAAAAAUCGCUUAAGAAAGAGGCAUCAACUGCAUCAUCUCACUCUUCCCGCCAACAACAACAAAUUUCUCCUGAUCCCCGCCAACAACAACAGAUUUCUCCUGAUAUUCGUUCACGGUUAUUUCCAGCAAUUCAAGAGCGGAAGAUUGAAAAUUCUAGUUCAGAUGAUGAGAGUGAAUGAACCAUCUGGAAUAGGUCGCUUUUAGGAUGAAAGUCCCUUAAAUUUCUGAAAAGGAGGGAUCAAUGAAAAGUAAGCAAUUGUGUUGAUAGUUCUUAUCCUGGCUAAUUUCACUAUGGUAGCUGCAUUAGUGGAGCAAACAUCACAAUCACUUUCACCAGAUUUCCCAGUGGUCAGAAGGAUUCUCAUCCAGCUAACUUGUGCAUUAGUAGUUAGAUACAAAAGUAAUUUUCUUUUUAUUUGAAAUUCUUUUUUUUUUCCCCCUGAGAUUAAAAUGGUGUAAUUCGUAGUUAGAUACAAAUGUAAUUUUCUUUUUAUCUGAAGUAUUUGCCUUUUUUCUCCAGAGAUAAAAGUGGACCAAUUAGCAAGUUAGUUCUCAAAUUAGAAGUUAUUUGUACUGUCUUAAAUGUAUAUGGAGGAAAGUAUAUAUUUUUCUAAUUGAAGGGCUUUACUGCGUAUGAUUA